AUGGAGAUAAUAACAAGAGAGAAAAGAAAUUGAGGGUGUAACUACACAGUAAAAGAUAUCAGAAUUCACUUGCAUUCACUCAUUGUGCAUUCACUCACUGUGGAUUCACUCGCUGUGCAUUCACUCGCUGUGGAUUUGCAGGGAGGACUCUGGGCUGAUCUGCAUUUCCCUUCAUGUCAAGUGGUCAUAGUGGGAAAAUAUGAAUCAGCCUGUCCUAUACUCAUAGUACUUUUCCCCCCAGUGUAGUUGCACUCUCAGGCAGCAUCAGAACUCGCCCAGAAUUAUGCAUCUCAACUACAAGAUGACAGGAAAUAAUUAUUUCAUUUCUUCACCUUCAGUACGCAGGACAGAUGUUCUACCAUGAUCCUACACAUUUCUGCAAAAGCACAAGACGUGGAUGCAGUAGGACCUCUUCUGGCAAAAGCUUGUCAUCUACAACAAUUACCAGCCUUGACCAACUGGUGUCCAAUUUGUGAGCUGUCACAAUUGAACCAGUAGAAGAAGUAGAGACCAUUUUGC
This is a non-coding RNA of Pogona vitticeps (central bearded dragon), 519 nucleotides long. NCBI's taxonomy places the organism in Eukaryota, Metazoa, Chordata, Lepidosauria, Squamata, Agamidae. The record is from RefSeq and is a predicted model, not a curated record.